RNAcentral lists this ribosomal RNA (240 nucleotides) under uncultured bacterium. Its description in RNAcentral is "partial 16S ribosomal RNA". It matches the Rfam family "Bacterial small subunit ribosomal RNA", at positions 524 to 776 of the family's 1533-position model. The record is from RNAcentral.
UACGGGGGGAACAAGUGUUAUUCAUCAUGACUGGGCGUAAAGGGCGUUAAGACUGUAUUUAAAAAGAUAACUAUUUAUUAUUAGUUAUUUUAUGCUUUUAAAUAACUUGAAUAGAUUAGAAAUUUGUAGAAUUUAAUUUAUAGGGGUGAAAUGCGGUAUAGAUUAAAGACUGUCAACGGGCGAAAGCGACAAAUUAUAAUUUAUUGACGUUGAAACGCAAAAGCAUAGGGAGCAAACAGG